RNAcentral lists this long non-coding RNA (543 nucleotides) under Ananas comosus (pineapple). Its description in RNAcentral is "long non-coding RNA (ACOM_LNC039317)". Lineage: Eukaryota; Viridiplantae; Streptophyta; Magnoliopsida; Poales; Bromeliaceae. The record is from RNAcentral.
AGAGUGAAAAAUAUAUUAAACUCGGUUAAUCCUGAUACAUACACUCAAGAGUUAGCCACUCUCUACUUUCGGGUUGUAACAUACCAGAUUUUGGUAUAAAAAUAAGAUUAAAUAAAAAUAGUGUGAGAAACUAUUUUUAUUGGAUUUGUAGAAGUAAAAAAUAAGUCAGAAGUGACUUGUGCUGAAAUCGGAAUGAAAACAGAAGAUCUAGAAUUUUCUGUUGGAAAUGGGACAGAUAAAUUAGCAGAAUAUGCACAGUCUCAGAAAAUUAUGAAAAUUGGAGGAUAAGUCAGAAAUAUUUUUAUGGGGUUAGAUUUAAAGUUUCAUAUUUUUCUGACACCCGCAGAGUGAGAAAUAAAAUCCGACAGCUAUCUGAUAAAGAUUACAGUUCGGCACAGUUUUUAGUGACCAAACGGGGUCGAAACUGAAAACUUAAAAUAUAUUCUUACUCAGUACGUUAAACUGAGCUUGUCUGUCAAAUUUGAGAUUAAACGGACAUUCAGAAGGGCUCCAACUAUUCCGAACUGCUAAAUAGCUGUCCGG